CCUACGGGUGGCAGCAGUGGGGAAUUUUGGACAAUGGGGGAAACCCUGAUCCAGCAAUGCCGCGUGUGUGAAGAAGGCCUUCGGGUUGUAAAGCACUUUUGGCGGGAACGAAACGGCUCUUGCUAAUACCAGGAGCUACUGACGGUACCCGCAGAAUAAGCACCGGCUAACUACGUGCCAGCAGCCGCGGUAAUACGUAGGGUGCAAGCGUUAAUCGGAAUUACUGGGCGUAAAGCGUGCGCAGGCGGUUUUGUAAGACAGGUGUGAAAUCCCCGGGCUUAACCUGGGAACUGCACUUGUGACUGCAAGGCUAGAGUGUGUCAGAGGGAGGUGGAAUUCCGCGUGUAGCAGUGAAAUGCGUAGAGAUGCGGAGGAACACCGAUGGCGAAGGCAGCCUCCUGGGAUAACACUGACGCUCAUGCACGAAAGCGUGGGGAGCAAACAGGAUUAGAUACCCUAGUAGUC
Molecule: ribosomal RNA, 465 nt
Filed under: uncultured bacterium
Lineage: Bacteria
Description: bacterial SSU rRNA
Rfam family: Bacterial small subunit ribosomal RNA
Source: RNAcentral